UACGAAGGGGGCUAGCGUUGUUCGGAUUUACUGGGCGUAAAGCGCGUGUAGGCGGGUCGUUAAGUUGGAGGUGAAAUCCCGAGGCUCAACCUCGGAACUGCCUUCAAGACUGGCGACCUGGAGCGUGAUAGAGGCGAGUGGAAUUGCGAGUGUAGAGGUGAAAUUCGUAGAUAUUCGCAGGAACACCAGUGGCGAAGGCGACUCGCUGGAUCAUUGCUGACGCUGAGACGCGAAAGCUAGGGGAGCAAACAGG
RNAcentral lists this ribosomal RNA (253 nucleotides) under uncultured bacterium. RNAcentral's name for it is "partial 16S ribosomal RNA". It matches the Rfam family "Bacterial small subunit ribosomal RNA", at positions 524 to 776 of the family's 1533-position model. The record is from RNAcentral.